Molecule: ribosomal RNA, 108 nt
Filed under: Neogale vison (American mink)
Lineage: Eukaryota; Metazoa; Chordata; Mammalia; Carnivora; Mustelidae
Source: RNAcentral
GUCUGCAGCCAUACCACCCUGAACGCGCCCAAUCUCAUCUAAUCUCCGAAGCUAAGCAGGGUCGGGCCUGGUUAGUACUUGGAUGGGAGGAAUGAUGUAGUUCUGAUU